UUCCAGACUCCUACGGGAGGCAGCAGUGAGGAAUAUUGGUCAAUGGGCUAAGGCCUGAACCAGCCAAGUCGCGUGAGGGAAGACGGUCCAAUGGAUUGUAAACCUCUUUUGUCGGGGAGCAAAAGACGCCACGUGUGGCGUUCCGAGAGUACCCGAAGAAAAAGCAUCGGCUAACUCCGUGCCAGCAGCCGCGGUAAUACGGAGGAUGCGAGCGUUAUCCGGAUUUAUUGGGUUUAAAGGGUGCGCAGGCGGAAGAUCAAGUCAGCGGUAAAAUUGAGAGGCUCAACCUCUUCGAGCCGUUGAAACUGGUUUUCUUGAGUGAGCGAGAAGUAUGCGGAAUGCGUGGUGUAGCGGUGAAAUGCAUAGAUAUCACGCAGAACUCCGAUUGCGAAGGCAGCAUACCGGCGCUCAACUGACGCUCAUGCACGAAAGUGUGGGUAUCGAACAGGAUUAGAUACCCUGGUAAUG
Molecule: ribosomal RNA, 468 nt
Filed under: uncultured bacterium
Lineage: Bacteria
Description: bacterial SSU rRNA
Rfam family: Bacterial small subunit ribosomal RNA
Source: RNAcentral